RNAcentral lists this ribosomal RNA (223 nucleotides) under Cutaneotrichosporon dermatis. RNAcentral describes it as "partial 26S ribosomal RNA". The record is from RNAcentral. Lineage: Eukaryota; Fungi; Basidiomycota; Tremellomycetes; Trichosporonales; Trichosporonaceae.
CCCAAGUAUGUUGACCGCAACGAUUGAGUCAGUCGUGUUCUUUGGAUUCAGCUAGUUCUUCUAGUCUACUUCCAUUGAACGGGUCAACAUCAGUUUUGUCCGGUGGAUAAAGAUAGUAGGAAUGUAGCUCCCCCGGGAGUGUUAUAGACUAUUAUUGCAUACACUGGGUGAGACUGAGGACUGCAGCUCGCCUUUUGGCCGGUCUUCGGGCACGUUCGAGCUU